CCUCCUUUCUAAGGAAUACCAAACCGUUUCUUUUGGUAUUAAAAAAAAUUUUAAUGUGGCCGUCCUCAUUUCUCUUCUUAUUAAUAAAGUGUCUACCUAAUGCAGAGGGGCCGGUAGCUCAGUUGGUUAGAGCGCACCCCUGAUAAGGGUGAGGUCGGACGUUCGAGUCGUCCUCGGCCCACCAUUAUUUAAACGGGGGAUUAGCUCAGCUGGGAGAGCGCCUGAUUUGCAUUCAGGAGGUCAGCGGCUCGAUCCCGCUAUCCUCCACCAAAAUUGACACUUUUAGCUUUUUCAAAUUGUAAAUAAUAAUAUCAAUUUUGAUUGUUCAAGUAAGACGAACAAUCAUCAAUAUCUAUAUCCGAUUGUUCGAAUAGAUGAACAAUCAAAUAAAAAUUAAAUUUCUCACAGAAAAAAAGUUUUUUUCUGUGCAUAAAUCAAGCGUUUAAGGGCGUAUGGCGGAUGCCUAGGCACUGAAAGGCGAUGAAGGACGUGGUAUACUGCGAUAAGUUUCGGGGAGCUGUAAGUAAGCUUGAUCCGAAAAUUC
RNAcentral lists this unclassified non-coding RNA (544 nucleotides) under uncultured Pelagibacterales bacterium. Its description in RNAcentral is "partial 16S-23S ribosomal RNA intergenic spacer". The stretch from base 433 to 544 matches the Rfam family "Bacterial large subunit ribosomal RNA", at positions 1 to 114 of the family's 2925-position model. The record is from RNAcentral. Lineage: Bacteria; Pseudomonadati; Pseudomonadota; Alphaproteobacteria; Candidatus Pelagibacterales.